AACGAACGCUGGCGGCAUGCCUAACACAUGCAAGUCGAACGAGACCUUCGGGUCUAGUGGCGCACGGGUGCGUAACGCGUGGGAACCUGCCCUUAGGUUCGGAAUAACUCCCCGAAAGGGGUGCUAAUACCGGAUAAUGUCUUCGGACCAAAGAUUUAUCGCCUUUGGAUGGGCCCGCGUUGGAUUAGCUAGUUGGUAGGGUAAAAGCCUACCAAGGCGACGAUCCAUAGCUGGUCUGAGAGGAGGAUCAGCCACACUGGGACUGAGACACGGCCCAGACUCCUACGGGAGGCAGCAGUGGGGAAUAUUGGACAAUGGGCGAAAGCCUGAUCCAGCAAUGCCGCGUGAGUGAUGAAGGCCUUAGGGUUGUAAAGCUCUUUUACCCGGGAUGAUAAUGACAGUACCGGGAGAAGAAGCUCCGGCUAACUCCGUG
Molecule: ribosomal RNA, 433 nt
Filed under: uncultured bacterium
Lineage: Bacteria
Description: partial 16S ribosomal RNA
Rfam family: Bacterial small subunit ribosomal RNA
Source: RNAcentral